This 270-nucleotide ribosomal RNA is filed under the name uncultured archaeon. RNAcentral's name for it is "partial 16S ribosomal RNA". It matches the Rfam family "Archaeal small subunit ribosomal RNA", at positions 477 to 747 of the family's 1478-position model. The record is from RNAcentral.
CAGCACCUCAAGUGGUCAGGAUGAUUAUUGGGCCUAAAGCAUCCGUAGCCGGCGCUGUAAGUUUUCGGUUAAAUCUGUGCGCUCAACGUACAGGCUGCCGGGAAUACUGCAGAGCUAGGGAGUGGGAGAGGUAGACGGUACUCGGUAGGAAGGGGUAAAAUCCUUUGAUCUAUUGAUGACCACCUGUGGCGAAGGCGGUCUACCAGAACACGUCCGACGGUGAGGGAUGAAAGCUGGGGGAGCAAACCGGAUUAGAUACCCGCGUAGUCC